Molecule: long non-coding RNA, 1488 nt
Organism: Leopardus geoffroyi (Geoffroy's cat)
Lineage: Eukaryota; Metazoa; Chordata; Mammalia; Carnivora; Felidae
Exons: 3
Source: RefSeq, a predicted model, not a curated record
CACGACAGUCAGGCUUCAGAGUCUGGACGCUGGAGGCAGGCGCUUGACUGGAUAUCCCAGCUCUAACAUCAGCUGUGUGACCUUGAGUAUAUCACUUAGCCUCUCUGUGCCUCAGUCUCAUGUGGAUAAAGCUGAUUAUCAUCCUCAAGUGGGGAACAAAUUUGUAUGUCCUGGUAGGUCACCAUGAGGAUUGAAUGAGCUUAAUUACUUAGAAGAGUCCCAAGUGUCAUUCUGUCCCUCCAAAGCCCAUUCCCUUCCCACACCCUGAGGAAGUUAUGCUUUUUAAAAUUUUCAUGUUCUUCCUCAUGCCAUUCCCUUUGCCUGAAAUGUUCUUCCUUCCUUAUCCUUCUGGCCAGUUGAAGCUCGCGCUUUUAACACUCUGCCCAAAUGUCCCCUCCCCCAGGCAGAAAAGCGUUCCUUCUGUCAUAGCCCCUAUGGGACCAGGUCACAGGGAUGCCUUCAGCUGCAAGAUGCGGAAACCCCAAACGAGCAGGCUUAAGUGGUGGGGUGAUCUGGGUCUCACAGAACUGUAGGCCCAGGGGCGGGGCCUUUGGGGAAGGCUCAGCACCUGUUCUCCACAGCAAUCUUGGCUCUGCUUCCUCUGUGGGCAGACAGCCUCUCUGGGCAGGGAACGAGACGGCUCUGGGCUCACGCCCCUCCAGGACGGCGGCCGGAAGAGGAGGCAGAGGGUCGAUCCUGGACGCUCUCUGGACGAGAGAGAAACCGUGGUCCCGGAGCCCCCAGAAACCUCUAUUCCAGCUUUGGCGACCCACAUCCGAUCACCAGCCAGGAGCGGAUGCCACCACGACGGGGGCGGCAGUCGGGGCUACCCCUGGGGGAGGAACACCGGGCAGCUGGUGGGGUGGUGGGUCGUGGGUCCCGGAUCAGGGCGCUGGUAGGAGGGAGGACGUGACCAGGCUGGGCAGACGGGCGAUGAACGGGGGCAGGGUCAUUGAACCGUCUUGCGCAGGAACGGUGGGCACGGCCCGUCUUCUCCUCCCUGUACCCCUGGCCCGGCACACCUACUACUCACUUGCUGGGAGCCCUUUCUUCAGAUGGAAUACUUGGCAGGAGCCAAAGAUGAGGAACAUACUUGAUGGACCAGCUUUGAGGUCUCCACACAGCACGCCCUUCCUUCCCCAGAUGGCAAAGUCCCCAACUCAAGGACCGCGUCCCUUGCCCCCGUCUACAGCCAGUAUUGACCAAGGAGACCUGGACAAAAGUUGUUGAGUGGGAAGGCACGCUCUUUAGUGCAUCGUCUCUCCUUUCCACUGCAAUUCUUUCUGCUUCCUGCCCAGAAUGAAGACUUGAUGGCUGGAGCUCCAGUGGCUAUUUUGGAGCACGUGGCCCACUUAAGGGUAGACGGUGCACCAAAGUGGCAGAGCAGAAAGGUGGAAGUCUGAGUUGCUGAGGACUUUAAGGAGCUUCCCAAUCAUUGCUGGGCUUCUUUAUAUGAGAGAAAAGUAAAAGUCUAUCUUGUUUAAGCCA